RNAcentral lists this long non-coding RNA (805 nucleotides) under Olea europaea (common olive). RNAcentral describes it as "long non-coding RNA (OEUR_LNC013195)". Lineage: Eukaryota; Viridiplantae; Streptophyta; Magnoliopsida; Lamiales; Oleaceae. The record is from RNAcentral.
CUGACUCGACUCGAUUUAAUCAGUCCACUCAAGCCUGCACAGCUAGCUGAAAACAAAAAAACAUAUGUCAAUCCUAGAGAUUUCUGUCUGACCAAUAAGAAUCGCGGAUAGAGGCUUCUCUAUCCGACGCAACCAACUUUACAUCUCAACCCUCCGUUUCAAUAGAGAAAACACAACUUGCUCUUCAACGGCUGUCAGGUCCCCUAUUAAGAACACUAGAUAUUAAAAUUCGCACCGUCCGAUUGUACUUUGCGGAUAUAUGUACACAAUCCUCUCCGGCUUUAAAACUUUCCGUUCGUUAGAGAGAGAAGAACUUCUGUUCAAGUGAGAGGUAAUUUUCUUUUCAAUUCUAUUUCAAUUUGAUAUUAAAUUUUUUAUUUCAAAACUUAUUGUAUGUGUAUACAAUGCGUUUUUCAGUAUGUGUAGCAGGAUUGGGGUUUUGGUUGACAUUGAUUGUCUAAUAUAAUGUGCUUGGGGUUUGUGUUUGGAUUCUAGAUUUGUUUCUCCUGUUGAUACUGAGUUUAUAUAUGUACUUUUUCAACGAUUUUCUUUUCGUCAUUUUCGGCCUUGGUGUGUUGUGAACUCAGAAUUUUGGAAAUUUACGGUUUUUUGUUGUAGAAGUUGGGUUUCAGGUUUUGAUGAGCUAGAAUUGGUUGAUCCAUUACAUUAUUUACGGGGUAGCGUGAUGAUUUUUAAAAUUUCUUCUUUGAUGUGGAUUUUUGUUUGUUGUUUUUGGUUUGGUAGCUUAGGGAUCUAAUCGGAGAUAAAAUUGUGAUUUUCUUUAGGUGAUUUUUUGGGGAGCCUU